CAAAUAUGUAUUUCUGAAAUGUCGAAAAAAAAAUUGAAUGUAGAAAUCUAUACCUGUUUAGCUCCCUGUCAGUCAUUGUUAUAAGUUCUGUCCUUUGCACCUGGUAGUAAACAUAGAGAAAACAUAUAGAGAAGGUGAGAAAUGAAACAAUGUCUCUAUCUCACCUCUUUAUUUGCAAUGUUUGUCCUGACCUUGCCUUGUCUGAACUGGAUUAUGAUGUCAUUUGUUAAAUCUUCAAUAUAAAUAUGAAAGAAAAUGUAGCAUCACAUGAAAAAAGGAUGAAAGUUUUAUAAAUCAUGUUCAAUGUUUUAUUCAGUGGUCUAAAUUCCAGAGAAAUGUCAAUUCCCCUUUAAUAUGCUAGAUUCUGCUAAAAUGUCUA
Pelobates cultripes (western spadefoot toad) is the source of this 379-nucleotide non-coding RNA. Lineage: Eukaryota; Metazoa; Chordata; Amphibia; Anura; Pelobatidae. The record is from the annotation of a GenBank genome assembly.